UUUAAGGUCUAACCUGCCCAAUGAGGAUUUAAAUGGCCGCAGUAUUUUGACUGUGCAAAGGUAGCAUAAUUAUUAGUUUUUUAAUUGAAAGCUUGUAUGAAGGGUUGGACGAGAUAAAAUCUGUCUUUAUUUAAAUUAAAGUAUAAUUUAACUUUUAAGUCAAAAGGCUUAAAUGUUUAUAAAAGACGAGAAGACCCUAUAGAUCUUUAUUUAGUUAGGAUUUUAAUAAUUUAGGAUUAUUUUAAUUUGGAGUCUUAAUUGAAUUUUAUUGGGGUAAUAUAAAGAUUAAAUAAAUUCUUUUUAUUUAUGACAUUAAUUUAUGAAUAUAUGAUCCAUUAAUAUUGAUUAUAAGAUUAAGUUACCUUAGGGAUAACAGCGUAAUUUUUUUGGAGAGCUCAUAUCGAUAAGAAAGUUUGCGACCUCGAUGUUGGAUUAAAAAUUAGCUUGGGUGCAGAAGCUCAAGAUUUUGGUCUGUUCGACCAUUAAAUUUUUACAUGAUCUGAGUUCAGACCGGCGUAAGCCAGGUCGGUUUCUAUCUUUAUUCAGAUAAAAUAUUUUAGUACGAAAGGACCAAGUAUUUAAUAUAAUUAUAUUUAUUUUUUGAAGAAUAUU
RNAcentral lists this ribosomal RNA (612 nucleotides) under Cicindela (Rivacindela) sp. JP-69b. RNAcentral's name for it is "partial 16S ribosomal RNA". It matches the Rfam family "Bacterial large subunit ribosomal RNA", at positions 1844 to 2739 of the family's 2925-position model. The record is from RNAcentral. Lineage: Eukaryota; Metazoa; Arthropoda; Insecta; Coleoptera; Carabidae.